This 19122-nucleotide long non-coding RNA is filed under the name Salvia miltiorrhiza (redroot sage). RNAcentral's name for it is "long non-coding RNA (SMIL_LNC005230)". Lineage: Eukaryota; Viridiplantae; Streptophyta; Magnoliopsida; Lamiales; Lamiaceae. The record is from RNAcentral.
CACUUCUUUGACAUCAGAUAUCGAGAUUUCCUGCUCUUUAAGUGAGGAAAGUGUCGAGGCAAAGCAGAAAGGCGUAACAGUUAAAUCAUCGGCCACGUGAUAAGUUGGAGAUCCUUUAAGAUAACUUCCCUGCCCAUUGGGAAACUUAACAGAAGAAAAAUUGUAUUUACGAUCAUAGUCAGCAGGCAAGGAUUCUUCAGUGAGGGGGAAAAUGUAGUCUUUCGAAACAUAGCCAUGAGGUAGAGUGGGAUUCAUUAGCCUCUUUUUCGUAUCCGGGGUAAUGAAAUGCUUGCUAUCUAUAACGUCGGAUGUGUUCCGGUACAAGUUGUCUAUAGCCUUAACACAAGUGCUACCGGCAAGAAGAUGCUCAACUCCUCCAAGUGGGAUGUAGAGGAAACUAAACAGAAACUCUACAAACUGUUUAUUAGCUUGAGCAUACACAACCUUACCAGUAGAUUGUUGUAUCAUCACUUUCAAACUUAAAUUCCUAGAGUUAUUGGGAUUCUCUUCGUCUCCACUGUGUGGUUGAGACACCAUGAGUGUAGAGUAAAUCAGCUGUGUUGUUUUAUUUAGGAUGAUGUCCGACAAUGGAGUUGGGGACGUCAAGGAUGCCUUCAACAAAUUCAUAACCUAAUAGAAAUUAAGAGAUAACAAGUUAAAGAAAAUUUAGUGGGAGAUAUAAUAUAAAACAACCUUUAAUAACUUUGUUGUCUAUAGCUUAAUAGACAACUACUUUACUAUAUAUCUUUAAAUGUUGUCUAUGUUAUAUGUCUAUAUACGUUUUUCACGUAGUGUGGAAACAAAUUAAAAUUACCUCAUUGAAGCCCAAAUCCACUUUGAUUUGCUCGGCGUUAUCCAUGUCUGUAAUGCCAAGAAAGCUAAUGAUUCCUAAGAAUCCUGUCUCAUUUGGAAAUAUGUGGAGAUCAUCAGAGAUUAUGAAAGAUGAUGUAUUCAUGGUGAAAACUCCAUCUCUAGAUGCAGCAGCUUCAGACCCUUUCUUACCUACUUCUUUAAUCAUACUAUCAUGUAAGCAAAUUUUGCACCUAUUGACAUGAUCAUAGUAGAUGCUUAGGCUACGAAAUCUAUUAGGCUGAUGAGUGUGAUACCGAAUGAUGGGAUAUUUACUACAAUAGAAAUAUUCAGCAGGCUGAAAAUCAGUGAUAUCGAGUUUCAGCCUCCUGUAUUCAUCUUCCAAUGAACUUGUUGGAUCAAGCAGAGUCUGCUUAGCUCCAUCAGUCCAGAAAUAUGCACUGUCGAGAUUUACUAAGCUACGGUACAAACUGCUUAAGCUACCAAUGGUAGGCGCCUCGUCUCCAUAGUGCUUCUCGAGGACUUUCACAAUUCUUCCCAAUGGCAAACUCAAGAAGCUUAACAAAAUGUCUGCAAAAUGGCUGUCGGAGUCUGCGAAGAGCACCUUAGUUCUCUCUUUAUUGAUCAUCACUUUCAACGAAAAUGUCGCACCUUUUUUAUCAUCAGCCAUUCUUGAAAUAUAUAUAUGUGGUACAAACAAAGAAAUAUUUGAAUAAUGUAAACGAAAGAUUUCAGCAAUCCCUGCAAUUUUAUGGGGGAAGAAGUUAACCUAAGAGUCGUUAGUUUACUCCCUCCAAAUUAAUUGGCAAAUUCCAAGACUCUCUACAAAUUCCAAGAAUCGUUACAAAAAUUAACCAAGCGCCACUAGUCCCACCAAAUUUCAAGAUCCAUCCGAUUUAUUUGAUUAAUUUCCCGAUUUAUUUAUUCCAAAAAAAUAGAUUUUAUUUUAGAUUGAAAAAGUGAAGUAGCAGUACCUCUUCCAAAUAAGUGUCAAUUUGUCCAACAAAAUUCCAAGAUUAUCUGCAUUGAUCACUCUCCCUUUUUACGAGUCACAGAAAUUAACCAAACGUUGCACCAAAUUCCAAGACCUUCUAGAGUCGAGAAGAAUAAUCUGCUUAACUGUAUAUAUUGGUAUUUAUCAUACGAGAAUAAUUAGAAAGUCAAAUCAACAAUAUGUAUUCUUGUGCUAAAUAAUACUAAACACUAGAUUGAUCUGUACUAAAUUAGCUAAUACAGUGUAUUAGCCAAUAUCAAACACGCACUUAGUUUAGUUUGGCUUCUAUUUAGUGUUGAACAAUAUAUAUUCUUGUGGUUGAAUGUAUUUGCGUUGUGAUUGUCUAUUCAUUUAAGCAGUUUGCAAUAGCUUUGGUGCUUGUAUUGUUGUGCAAAUUUUGAUCUUGUUUUAGUGAUUUCACUACGGAUCAAUGUUUUUGUUCAUUUUGAUAUUGUUAUGCAUCUGUUUCCUUUGUUUAAUAUUGCAGAACUUCGACAUAAUGAGGCUCUUUCUAGUAGUAUAUAAAGUUGAUUUUAGAGGAAAGAUAAGGUUGAAAAUAACAGAAUUUGUGCAAGUUUGAUUCUAGUUAUAAAGGAAAAGGUCCAAAUGAACAAAACACAUAAAUUAAGUCAUUCCAAAAGGGAAAAUGAAAACUUUGCAAACAGACAAAAGGUCCAAAUGAAGCACUGCACCAAACAUAAUUUAAAAUAAAAAUGAAACACCAUAGCUAUUAAAAAACAAGCUGAGUUUGCAACAUGUAGGAGCAGAAAAAACAUAUUAGGAAGCAUGGAUCACAGUCAGUCUUCUUCUCUCUUAGGUUGUUUGAGCGAUUUGUGAGUCAAGAGAGCAUCAGUGAGAGCAGUAGUAGAAGUAAGAGAGGCUUUCAGUAUGCUACAAGCCUGCACCAACACAAUUCAUCUCAACAUCUAAACAUAUAUACAAAAUCAAUCAAAUGAUACAGAUUUCAAAUUGUAUUACCUCUUUCAAUCCAAUUCGCAGCUCCAUUUCUUUUACAUCAGAUAUUGAGAUUUUCUUCUCCCUGAGACUGGAAAGGAUCGAGACAAUACAAAAAGGCAACACAGUUAAGUCAUCCUUUACCUGAUAAGUCCGUGGUCCUCGAAGAUAUCUCCCUUGGCCAUUGGGAAACUUAAGAGAAGAAAACAAAAAUAGUUUUUCAAGGUAAAAAGGAGGCAAUGAUUCUUCGGUGAGGGGAAGAAUGUGGUUUUGAGAUAUACAACCAUGUGGCAAAUUGGACUCCAUUAGCCUCUUUUUUGUAUGUGAGCUCUUGAAAUACUUGCAAUUUCUAGGAUCAGCUGUGCUCCGGUAAAGGUUGUCUAUAGCCUUAACACAUGUUUCGCCUCCAAGAAGAUGCUCAGCUCCUCCUAGUGGGAUAUGAAGGAAACUAAAUAGAAACUCCACAAAAUCUUCCUUAGCUUGAGCAUACAAAAACUUGCCGGUAGAUUUUUGUAUAAUCACUUUCAAACUUAAAGCCCUAGAGUUGGCAUUUUCUUCUUCAAUAUUUAGUUGAGAUUCCACUGUUGAAGAGUUCAUCUGUAUUGUUUUAUUCAAUAUGAGGUCCGACAAUGGAGUUGGAGACGUCAAGGAUGCCUUUAACAGGUUCAUAAUCUAAACAAAAUACACAAUUAAUAAGCCAUGAAAACACAGAAUUGAAGAAGAUUGAGAUUAGAGAGUCAAGAAUCACCUCAUUGAACCCUAAAUCAACUUUGAUCAACUCAGCCUUAGGGGUGGCACGGUACGGUAUACCUUAUUAAAUCGACCAUACCUUAUACCUUACCUUUACCUCCGGUAUGGAGAAAAUUNAGUAGAUGUAAGAGAGGCUUUCAGUAUGCUGCAAGCCUGCACCAACAAAAUUUAUUUCAGCAUCUAAACAUACAUUCAGAAAUAUAACAACCAAGAUUUCAAAUAUACAGUUUAAUCACCUCUUUCAGCCCUAUUUGCAUCUCCACUUCUUUGACAUCAGAUAUCGAGAUUUUCUGCUCUUUAAGAGAGGAAAGUGUCGAGGAAAAGCAGAAAGGCGUAACAGUUAAAUCAUCCGCCACGUGAUAAGUUGGGGAUCCUUUUAGAUAACUUCCCUGCCCAUUGGGAAACUUAACCGAAGAUAACAAGUUCAGAUAAUCAUUGUACUCAGCAGGCAAGCAUUCUUCAGCGAGGGGGAAAAUGCAGUGUGCUGAAAUGUAGCCAUGAGGUAGAAUGGGUGUCAUUAGCCUCUUUUUUCGUAUCCGGGGUAAUGAAAUGCUUGCUAUCUGCAAGGUCGGAUGUGCUCCGGUACAAGUUGUCUAUAGCCUUAACACAAGUGUUACCGGCAAGAAGAUGCUCAACUCCAACCAAUGGGAUGUAGAGGAACUAAACAGAAACUCCACAAACUGUUUAUUUGCUUGAGCAUACGCAACCUUACCAGUAGAUUGUUGUAUCAUCACUUUCAAUCUUAAAUUCCUCGAGUUGUUUGGAUUCUCUUCCUCUGUAGUGUGUGGUUGAGUCACCAUGAAUUUAGAGUAAAUCAGCUGUGUUGUUUUAUUUAGGAUGAUGUCCGACAAUGGAGUUGGGGACGUCAAGGAAGCCUUCAACAAAUUCAUAAUCUAACAAUAACAUGAUAUACACAAAUUAAAUAAAUAACUAGUUAUAACAAAGAUUGAGAUUAGAGAAAACCAAAAAUUACCUCAGUGAAGCCCAAAUCCACCUUGAUUUGCUCGGCGUUAUCCAUGUCUGUAAUGCCAAGAUAGCUAAUGACGCCUAAGAGUCCUGUCUCACUUGGAAAUAUGUGGAGAUCAUCAGAUAUUAAGAAAGAUGAUGUAUUCAUGGUGAAAACUCCAUCUCUAGAUGCAGCAGCUUCAGAUCCUUUCUCAACUACUUCUAUUUUCAUAGCAUCAUUAUAUGAGCAAAAUUUGCACCUCUUGACAUGAUCAUAGAAGAUGCUUACGCUACGAAAUCUAAAAGACUGAGGGUGAUAGAAACAAUAGAAAUAUUCAGCAGGCUGAAAAUCAGUGAUGUCGAGUUUCAGCCUCCCGUAUUCAUCUUCCAAUGAACUUGUUGGAUCAAGCAGAGUCUGCUUAGCUCCAUCAGUCCAGACGUAGGAACUGUCGAGAUUUACUAAGCUACGGUAUAAACUGCUUAAGCUACCAAUGGAAGGCGCCUCGUCUCCAUAGUGCUUCUCGAGGACUUUCACAAUUCUUCCCAAUGGCAAACUCAAGAAGCUUAACAAAAUGUCUGCAAAAUGGCUGUCGGAGUCUGCAAAGAGUACCUUAGUUCUCUCUUUAUUGAUCAUCACUUUCAACGAAAAUGUAGCACCCUUUUUAUCAUCAGUCAUUCUUGAAUUUGAUACAGAAGUCGUCACUGCACUAAUUAGUUUAUAUGUGUAUUGAUCUAAUAGUAGAAUAUAAUUAAUGUUUGAGGUUAAAGGUAUCAAGAUUGCUAUUUGGACAUAAUAUGUUCAUAUAUAAAAUGGUCAAAUAUAUAAAAAUCGAUUAAUUUAAAAAUUUUGGCUCAAAAUAAAAAAGGAUUAAUUUAGUUAAUUAAAAAUAAAGACAGCUACAAUGUGAACAAAAUUUUAAAACUAGCUAAUUUUUUUUUAUUUUUUUAAAUCGAAAAUUUUAUAUUAAUUUUAUUUUGUAUAUAUUCAUUCAUGACCCAAAAAAACCCAUCUUUUCGUCAAAUUCUGUCAUUAUUCAAAACCAAAAUCUAGUUUCCUGAGAGUCCAAUUAAAUCCUUCAUAAAGACUAAAAGAAGCUCGAAUUAAACAUCUCUUACUCGGGUAAUUCUAUCUAUAUCAAAGCCUAUUUUUCAGAAAAAUUAAAAUUUAGUGUAUUUUAUUUCAAAUUUUAAAGAUUGCGAGCAAAAUCAAAAUCCGUCUAAAUUUUAUGUAUUUUGUGGCAAUUUACCCAUAAACAUAGUAGUAAUUAACUAAUUAAUAAACAAUUAAAAAUAGACACAGUGUGAACAAGAGAUGAAUAAGUCAAGAAUUACCUGAUUUCCAAAUUUAUAAAAAUUGGGGAUUUUCAAGAGAAAAAAGACAGAUUUUCAAGUCAACCCAGAAGAAAAUAUGUUGUUGGAUGAGGGUGGCUGAGCUCGCGGCGGAGGAAGAAGAGAGGAGUGGAUAGAUGAGUGAGAGAGAAGCACUGUCAUUAUUUGGCUACUAAAGCAAAAUGGAGCAAACAGUUGAGCUAUGCCAUUGGCGAAUCUUUGCUUUUUCACUUUUUUUUUAAACUUCUUUUUCUGUUUUUCAACUUUUUCUUUUCCAUGUUUUUGGUUUGUCGGUUUCACAAAAAGUACUAUUGCAUGACUUUAUUUGACGCAAUUGUAAUUUAAUACUCCGUGCGCCAAAAUUAGACUACUUUGGUUGAGCACGAAAUUUAAUAAAAUUGGUGAUGAUUUUGAUGUAGUGGAGAAAAUGUCCCACCACUUUAUUAGAUGUGUGGUUGAGAUUGAAUUUGGGCUAGUUUUUUUUGUAAAUAAAAAGUGUUUGUAAGGAUAAAAGAUUAAAGUAGGUAGUAGGACCAUUUCCAUAAAAGGAAAGUGGUAUGCUUUUUGCGGACGCUCAAUAUAAUAAAAAUGGUCUACUUUUGGCGGACGGAGGGAGCAUGUUUGAACAAAAAAGUAGUUAAAUACUUUAACAAAUAUAUUUAUUUAAAACUUUUGAUUAAAAAAAUAGUUAUUUUUAUUAUUUUCUCCAUAUUUUAUUUUAUAAUUUUUAAUAUUUUAUUUAAAAAUUGUUAUUUUUAAAGAGCAUAAAAAUUACAAAUAAAAAGUAAAAAUUAAAAUAGCACCUUAGAUUUCUCUCUAUUGAUCAUCACUUUCAACGAAAACGUAGCAUUCUUGUUCUUGUUUUUCUCAGACAUUUUGGUGGAGGCGAAGAUUUUUCUACAAUUCUAUUUUCUUAUUUGUGAAACAUCAACCUUUCAAGUUCAACCAUAUUAAUAUUCCAUUUUCAGGUGUCUUGAAAUUCGGAAUUUGUUGCUGGUUAAUCAAUUUUAAUUAGGAGUGAAUGCAGAAGGUGUGGCUUUUAGUGGGACUAGUGACUCUUGGUUAACUCCUUCCUCAUAAACAAGGGAGUGAAUGUAGAAAAAAAUCGAAUUAGUAUCUUCAUCUGUUAUUUAGAUCUAAAUCCAAACACAGCCAAAUAUAAAACCUAGUAUUAAAAAAGUGACUUGUUUUACAAAAUUUGAUUUGCCUAUUAUAUCCCUCAUAUAUACUUAGAUUAAGGUUAAUUGUGUAAUUUAAUAUAUUAUACUUAUAAUAUAUCUAUAAAUAUAUUAUGGUUUAUCUUUUAUAUUUUAAUAGCUAUUUAAGUAGUAGUAUCCAUUAGGACUCUUCAUCAUAUAAGUUAUUAUUUUUUUAUUACAUAAUUAUAAUAAUUUAGAAUUAAAAUACAAAGGAUUACUUAAGUAAUAGUAUCCAUUAGAAUUAGUAAAUCGAAAGAUUUCAGCGAGUCCUCUCUUUUAUGGGGGAAGAAGUUAACCGAAGAGUCGUUAAUUAGUCCUCCAAAUUCCAAGACACUCUACAAAUUACAAGAAUCAUUAGAGAAAUUAACCAAGCGCCGCUAGUCCCACCAAAUUCCAAGACAUAAACUUGUUAAAUAGGUUUGAUUUAUUUAAUUUAUUUUUUAAAAUAAAAAUAAUUAUUAUUUUUCCUUAUAUUGUUUAUAUUUUAUUUAUUUUUUGUAAUUUUUUAUUUUUUUAGAAAUAAAAUAGAAAAGUGCAAAAAAAAAGGUACAAUUAAUAUAGACAAUACAAUAAAUUAGUUAAAAGCUAUUUUUAAUUUUAAAAAUAAACUAAAUAAAUCAAAAAAAUUAUCCUAUUGAACUAAUUUGUGAGUGGUCCUGAUGUGAUUGCAUAUAUUUAUUGUUUGGUUGAUUUCCCGGUUUUAUUUACGAUUAAAAAAGUGAAGUAGAAGUAUCUCUUCCAACUAAAUUACCGAUUUUGUGUGUAGGUGGAAUACAAUUUAAAUUUGAAUAAGUUUCAUUUUAAACGUAGGUUAUAGAAAUUUGAUGCAUGCAUGUGAUUUUCUUUAUAGGUGUAUUGAGUGAUGUCACACAAUUCUUUAUUCUUUUGAAUUAUUGAAUGAAUUAUAUGUGACAACAAUUUCAUAAAUAUUAGGAGAUCAAAUGAAUUCUUGCUGCUUAAUUCCAAGUUAGCUGCGGACGUUUAAUUUUGUAUCUCAUAAAGAGAGUGAAUGCAGAGAGUCUCGGAAUUUGGUAGGACUAAUGACUCUUAGGUUAAAGUUGUCGUUGAAAGUGAUGAUAAAUAUAGAGAGAAAUGAGGUACACAAUAUAUAUUUCGAAUUUUUACUCAUCCUACUCCAAUAACAUUUAUGAUAAUUCUUAUUUCAACAAACAAAUAAUAGUUACUCCAUCUCAUAUAUUGUGCAACUUAAAUUUUUUUAUACUCAUAUAGUAUUAAAUAAUUAAUUAAAUUUUAAAUAUAAACCAGUUAGGUGAUAAAAUGCAUCUCAUCUAGCUGCUUAAUUCGAAGCUAGCUACUGCAUGGAGUUUAAUUUGAUUUAGUAUCACAUAAAGAGAGCGAAUGCAGACAGAGACGGAUCUAAAGGCCGGGCAGCCUCGGCGGUCGCCCGGUCAUUUUUUUAUUACCUAUAUAUAUAUAUAUAUAUAUAUAUAUAUAUAUAUUAUUAUUUANNNNNNNNNNNNNNNNNNNNNNNNNNNNNNNNNNNNNNNNNNNNNNNNNNNNNNNNNNNNNNNNNNNNNNNNNNNNNNNNNNNNNNNNNNNNNNNNNNNNNNNNNNNNNNNNNNNNNNNNNNNNNNNNNNNNNNNNNNNNNNNNNNNNNNNNNNNNNNNNNNNNNNNNCACUUUAUAAAUAGCUUUCAACUUCUUUAUUUUUCCAAUGUGGGAUGACACUCCACAUUUCCAUCUUCAAUGGCUAUCUUUGGGCAUUAAUUACUCAUUCAAUUCUUAAUAGAUUUGAACAAGUAAAUAUACCAAAUUAAUCUACUCAAAAUGUAGAUUCCAAAUAUACCAUUUAAUUCCAUUAAUUACAAAGUAAUUAUGGACUAAUAAAAGCCAUUUAUUCCAACAAUAUAUAACAACUAAGAUUUCAAAUGAUACAGGUUACCUCUUUCAGCCCGAUUUGCAUCUCCACUUCUUUGACAUCAGAUAUCGAGAUUUUCUGCUGUUUAAGAGAGGAAAGUGUCGAGGCAAAGAAGAAAGGCGUAACAGUUAAAUCAUCGGCCACGUGAUAAGCUGGCGAUCCUUUAAGAUAACUUCCCCGCCCAUUGGGAAACUUGACAGAAGAAAACAUCGAUAUAUUAUCAUAGUCAGCAGGCAAGGAUUCUUCAGUGAGGGGGAAAAUGUAGUCUUUCGAAAUGUAGCCAUGAGGUAGAAUGGGAGUCAUUAGUCUCUUUUUCGUAUCCGGGGUAAUGAAAUGCUUGCUAUCUGCAAGGUCGGAUGUGUUCCGGUACAAGUUGUCUAUAGCCUUAACACAAGUGCUACCGGCAAGAAGAUGCUCAACUCCUACCAAUGGGAUGUAGAGGAAACUAAACAGAAACUCUACAAACUGUUUAUUAGCUUGAGCAUACGCAACCUUACCAGUAGAUUGUUGUAUCAUCACUUUCAAACUUAAAUUCGUAGAGUUAUUUGGAUUCUCUUCCUCUGUAGUGUGUGGUUGAGACACCAUGAGUGUAGAGUAAAUCAGCUGUGUUGUUUUAUUUAGGAUGAUGUCCGACAAUGGAGUUGGGGACGUCAAGGAUGCCUUCAACAAAUUCAUAAUCUAACUAACAUGAUAUACACAAAUUAAAUAAAUAACUAGUUAUAACAAAGAUUGAGAUUAGAGAAAACCAAAAAUUACCUCAGUGAAGCCCAAAUCCACCUUGAUUUGCUCGGCGUUAUCCAUGUCUGUAAUGCCAAGAUAGCUAAUGACGCCUAAGAGUCCUGUCUCACUUGGAAAUAUGUGGAGAUCAUCAGAGAUUAAGAAAGAUGAUGUAUUCAUGGUGAAAACUCCAUCUCUAGAUGCAGCAGCUUCAGAUCCUUUCUUAACUACUUCUAUUUUCAUAGCAUCAUUAUAUGAAGCAAAAUUUGCACCUCUUAACAUGAUCAUAGUAGAUGCUUACGCUACGAAAUCUAUAAGACUGAGAGUGAUAGUAGGAUAUUUACAAUAGAAAUAUUCAGCAGGCUGAAAAUCAGUGAUGUCGAGUUUCAGCCUCCCGUAUUCAUCUUCGAAUGAACUUGUUGGAUCAAGCAGAGUCUGCUUAGCUCCAUCAGUCCAGAAAUAGGCACUGUCGAGAUUUGCUAAGCUACGGUACAAACUGCUUAAGCUACCAACGGAAGGCGGCUCGUCUCCAUAGUGGUGGUCGAGGAUUUUGACAAUUCUUCCCAACGGCAAAGUCAAGAAGCUUAACAAAAUGUCUGCGAAGUGGCUGUCGGAGUCUGCAAAGAGUACCUUAGUUCUCUCUUUAUUGAUCAUCACUUUCAACGAAAAUGUAGCACCCUUUUUAUCAUCAGCCAUUCUUGAAAUAUAUAUGUGGUACAAACAAAGAAAUAUUUGAACAAUGUAAUCGGAAGAUUUCAGCAAACCCUCCAUUUUUAUGGGGGAAGAAGUUAACCUAAGAGUCGUUAGUUUAGUGCCUCCAAAUUCCAAGAAUCGUUAGAAAAAUUAACCAAGCGCCACUAGUCCCACCAAAUUCCAAGACCCAUCGGAUUGUAUUUGAUUAACUUCCCAAUUUUAAAAAAUAAAAAAAAAAAAUAAAAAAAAUCGAUCUAUUUUAGAUUGGAAAAGUGAAGUAGAAGUACCUCUUCCAACUAAUUAAAUUACCGAUUUAGUGUCAAUAUAGACCACAAUUUAAAUUUAAAUAAGUUUCAUUUUAGAUAUAGGUUUACAAAUUUGAUGCAUGCAUGUGAUAACAAUUUCAUAAUUUUUUUUUUGAAACAAUUUCAUAAAUAUUAGGAGAUCAAAUGCAUCCCAUAUGUAGCUGCUCAAUUCCAAGUUAGCUACUGACGUUUAAUUUGAUUUUGUAUCUCAUAAAGAGAGUGAAUGCAAGGAGUCUUGGAAUUUGGUGGGACUAAUGACUCUUAGGUUAACUUCUUCCCCAUAAAAAGGGAGGGUUUGGUGAAAACUAUCGAUUACAUUAUUAUCUCAAGAAUGUCUGAUGUUGAGAAGGAUGUCAAGUUGUCGUUGAAAGUGAUGAUAAACAAAGAGAGAAAUGAGGUACUCUUUGCAGAAGCCGACAACCAUUUCACAGACAUUUUGUUAAGCUUCUUGAGUUUGCCGUUGGGAAGAAUUUUCAAAGUCUUCAAGAAGCACUAUGGUGAUGAGCUUCCUACCAUUGGAAGCUUAAGCAGUUUGUACCAUAGCUUAACAAAUCUUGAUAGCGCCCAUUUUGUGACGGAGGGUGCUAAGCAGACUCUGCUCAGUCCAACCAGUUUAUUUGAAGAUGAAUACAAAAGGCUGAAACUCGAUAUCACUGAUUCUCCGCCUGCUGAAUAUUUCUAUUGUUCAUCCUGUUACCCUCAUGAUAGAUUUCAUAUUAUAAGCAUGUACUAUGACUCUGUUGAGCGUUGCAAAUGUUACCGUAGUAUGAUGAAAGAAGUAGCUAAAAAAGGGUCUGAAGCAGCUAGUGAUGGAGUGUUUACUAUACGUAAAGCAUCUUUCACAAUCUCUGAUGAUCUUCAAAUAUUUCCAAAUGAGAUUGGACUCCUACCAAUCACCACCCUUCUUGGCAUUACAGAUGCCCAUAAGGCUGAGGAAAUCAAAGUGGAUCUUGGCUUCAAUGAGGUGAUUUCUUGAAUAUUCUCUAAUUAAUCUCAAUCUUUGUUAUAACUAGUUAUUUAUAUUUUGUCAUUUUUGUGUUUAUAUGGUUGUUAGAUUAUGAAUUUGUUGAAGGCUUCCUUGACGUCCCCAACUCCAUUGUCGGACGUAAUCCUGAAUAAAACAACAACACAGAUGAACUCUGCAAAGAUUCCGUUGCAUGAGAUUGUAGAGAAAAAAAACCCCAAUUCUAGGAAUUUAAGUUUGAAAGUCACCAUACAAAAAUCUACAGGUAAGUUUCUGUAUGCUCAAGCUAAGGCAGAUUUUAUGGAGUUUCUAUUUGGUUUCUUCAACAUCCCACUAGGAGGAGUUGGGCAUCUUCUUGCUGGCAAGACUGGUUUCAAGGCUAUAAACAACUUGUAUCGGAGCACAACUGACCUUAUAAACGACAAGUAUUUCAAGACCUCGGAUAUGAAAAGAAGGCUAAUGAAACCCAACUUGUUUCAUGGUUGCACUUCCAAAAACAACAUUCUUGCUCUUGUCGAAGAACCCUUGCCUGAUGACUUCGAUAAAGCUGAAUUUUCUUCAGUCAAGUUUCCCAAAGGGAAGGGUAGGUAUCUUGAAGGAGCAGCAACUUAUAAGGUGACAGAUGACUUAACUGUGACCCCUUUUUGCACUGUCUCCAUUCUUUCUACUCUGAAUAGCUUGAAAAUCCCAAUAAAUGACGUCGAAGAAAGGGAUCUGCAAAUCGGAUUGAAAGAGAUAAUCAUUGAAUCUUUUUAUAAAUGAUUUUUUUUAGCAUAUUUUGAGAUGAAGUUUGUUGGUGCAGGGCUUGAGCAUACUGAAAGCUUCUCUUACAUCCACUUCUGCUCUCACAGAUUCUCUCCUCAGUCAUAAAUCGAGCAAGAAACGGAAGAAAGAACUCGCAGGCUGAUCCUUGGUUGCAACUAUUACAAAUAUUAGCAACUCUAUAUAUGGUGCUUAUAUUUGCUUUUGCUUUUUAUUGUGAUCCUAAUAUUUUCAAGGACCUAUUUUUCAUAUGCAAGUUACUGUUUUUGUUUCUGUGUUGUCCUUAUAUGAGAGAAAGCAUACUCUUGAAAUUACUUCUAAUUUAUUGACAAUAUUGCCUCGCUCACAUGAUCAGACGAAUCCACCCUAAAAAAUAACUACUGAAACUUGAAAAAAUUUACACUAAACUUGCAAAUAAUAAAAAGAUUUUCUUUUUCAUUUCUUGGAAUCGUGCAACAGGCUGAUAUCGAGGAUGAGAUCUAGUGUACCAUAAACGAUGUCUCAUUCCAUGUCUCACUAUUAAAAUGACGUAGUUUUAAUUAUAACUCUAAUAUGUACAUAAUUGAUAUCAUCAUUCUAAAGUAAAGGAAGGAAUUACACAAAAAAUCAUAUGGUUCUUUUGCUUCCCAAUUUGUUCUUCUACUCAAAUCCAAAUCAUUCUGCCGGUAAGGCUUGUGUUAAGGCUAUAGACAACAUGUAUUAGAACACAUGUGAAUAUAUGGAUAACGUAUCUCAUAACCUCGGAUACGAAGAAGAGGAUAAUAAAACCUAAUGUGGUUCAUGGCUGUAUAGAGAGAAACACUUACAUCCCCUUCUGUUCUCACCGAUGAUCUCCUAACUCGCACAUCGAAUAAACAAAUAAUUGGAGAAGUAUGAGUUUGAUCCACACAACAAUUUUGCUGCAUAAUUAUAUAACUAAUAUUGUUUGCUUAUGUUAAUAGCUAUGGUUCUUAAAUUAAACAAUCUUCAUAGUGUAUUAUGAGAGUUAUGCAUCUAUUGAUCUCUUUGAUGAUGCAUUGUUUAAAUCAUUUAAAAAUUCAAUAAAAUACAUUAUUUCAAAUGUUUACUCAUCCUAACCCAAUAACAUGUACGAUAAUUCUUAUUUCAACAAACGAACAAUAGGUACUCCAACUCAUAAAUUCUAAUUAGCAAAAUAUUACUUAUAGAUUUUCGUUUUUGUGACUUCCUAUCAUAUCUGGGCUCGGAUCACAAAGAAGGAUGACAAUGGGCUCAUAUCUACAUUUGGUCUAGAUCCAUUAACUUUGAAAAAAAAAUUAAAUAUAGGUCAAAAUUCAUAAAAUCCACAACUAAUUUAUGUAAUUCGAUUAAUUUAUUUAAAUUGGUUAUUGCAAUUGAAGUUAGCAAAAAUAAAUAAAGGAUAAAUCCUUUCGGAUCAAAUUGAUCCGAAUCAAUGAUAAUAAUAUUGUCAAAAUAUUUAAAUUGAAAAUGUAUCUUACCUUAAAUGCCCUUAAUAAAAAUUUAGAAUUCAAAAUAUUAAAUUUAUUAUUCAUAUACAUAAAUUCAAAUGUUUUUCCAUUUUUCUAGGCCAUUAAUUGAAUUCGUAAAUAUAAAAAUUGUACGUUAGUCUCCUUAAAUUUAUGAACUUAAUUAAAUGAAUUUAUGAUUAUAACAAUUUCGGUUAGUCUAUCAAUAAAAUUAUGAAUCUUCUUCCAAGUCUCCUGAGCUUUAUGCAAAGUAUCACGAUUGCAUCGAACGAAAAUUUAAACGAAUAAUCAACUAAAAAUUAAUUAAAAUGGCGAAUCUUCUUCCAAGUUAGACUCUGGUGGGACGACGUUUGGUUAGUUUCUCUAUCUCGUAAAAAGGUAGUGAUAUCAAUGCGUAGAAUCUUGGAAUUUGGUUGGACUAAUGACUCUUUGGUGGGUUAAUUUCUUGCCUUAAAAAAAAGCGAGGGUUUGCAGACAAAUCUUGAUAGCAAUCUAAGUUUUCAUCUCCAUUACCACAAAUAUUACUAAUUUUCUACACAUUUUAGCAGAAUGUCUGAUGCUAAUAAAGAUGUCAAGUUGUCGUUGAAAGUGAUGAUGAAUAAAGAUAAAACUAAGGUUCUCUUUGCAGAAGCCGACGGCCAUUUUAUAGACAUUUUGUUAAGCUUCUUGACUUUGCCGUUGGGAAGAAUUAUCGAAAUCUUCCACAACCAGUAUGGAGAAAAGGCACCCACCAUUGGAAGCUUAAGCAGUUUGUAUCGUAGCUUAGAAAAUCUCGAUGACGCCCACUUUGUGACGGAGGCUGCUCAGCGGGCUCUGCUCUAUCCAAUCAGUUCAUUUGAAGAUGCAUACAAAAGGCUGAAACUGGACAUCACUGAUUCUCUGCCUGAGAAGUAUUUCUGCUGUUUCUUAGCCUCUCAUGGUAGAUUUCCUAGUUUAAGCAUCUACUAUGAUAAUCUCACUUGCAGAAUCUGUGGCAAUAUGAUGAGAAAAGAAGCAGCUAAAAACCUAUCUAGAGCUUCUUCGAGUGAUGGAGUGUUCACGAAAAGUAAAGCAUCUUUCACAAUCUCCGGUGAUCUGCAAAUAUUUCCAAAUGAAAUUGGGCUCCUACCAUUCAUCACCCUUCUUGGCAUUACAGACGCGCAUGAGGCGGAGGAAAUCCAAGUGUCGUUUGGGUUCGAUGAGGUGAUUCUUGUUUCUUUAAUCUCAAUUUUCCACCUUUUUUUUGGGAUUAAUUGGUUAUAAUCCAGAAAGGGGUUAGUGCCUAGAUUAGAAUCGUAAUUUUAGGAAAAUUUCGAAAAUAAUCCAAGUUGAUCAUGGCUUUGUUAGUUUGUUUACUAAUCUAUACCUAUAAAAUUUGAUUCGUCUAUAAUAUCUGUCAUAUAUAUUUAUUUUAAGGUUAAUUGUGUAUUUUAAUAUUUUUUAUAUAUAAUAAAUCUAAAAAAAUAAGUUAUGAUUUAUAUUUUAAUUAGUAUUUAAGUGGUAGUACCUAUUAGGACUCUUCAUCCACAUAAAUUACUGUUCUUUAUUCUCUAAAGUUAGUAAUUUAGAAUCACAGUAUUACUUAAUACUAGUUUUAUUAGAAGAAUUCUUGGAUUAAAAUUAAUUAUAUAAAGAUGAAACCUAGAAAACAAACAUGAAUUUUAUAUACUUUUAUUUUUGGUUAUGUUUUUUUCUGUGGACGUCCAAAAUUAGUUGGUACUUAAUAAAUUAAAAUUAAAUUUCAUACAAAAUUUAGAUAUUACAUAACUUUUAAAAAAUUAUUGUCAUAAAAGUUACUCCCUCUUUCCACGAAAGAAUUUCCUAUCUUUCCUUGUUGGGAUGUCCACAAAAGAACUUCCUAUUUAUUUUUGGACUAUACCCCACCACUUAUGAUCUUCUUACUUUUCAAUUUUCACAACUCUCAAUAUUAAUUAUAACACUUUUUCACCACUUCUAGUACACUCAACUACCUUUUAUCCACUCUCAAUACACUCAACAAUAUUUUUUCUUAAAAUUCAUGUCACUUCCUCCUAGAAAGUUCUUUUAUGGACGGAGGGAGUGCUAUAUAGUAUUAAAGUAAUUCAUUUUUACGGGCAAACACAAUCAUUUCUGCUAGUAAUCUAUAUAAAUUUGUAGCCGAUUAACCCUUUUUUUUUUAAUGAGAUGUUAGAUUAUGGACUUGUUGAAGGCAUCAUUGACGUCGCCAACUCCAUUGUCGGACCUCAUCCUACGUAAAAAAACAAAGAGUUCAACUGCAGCUAUUUCAAUGCAUGAAAUUGUGAACGAGAUAAACCCCAAGUGUAGGAAUUUAAGUUUGAAAUUGAUGAUACGAAAAUCCACCGGUGAGCUUUUGUACGCUCAAGCUCAGGAAGAUUUCGUAGAGUUUCUAUUUGGUUUGCUCACCAUUCCACUAGGAGGAUUGGAGCAUCUUCAAGCCGGCAAGUCUUGUUUUACGGCGAUAAACAACUUGUAUCGGAGCACGGCUGAACUAGACGACAAGUAUUUCAAGACCUCGGAGACGAAGAAGAGGCUUAUGAAUCCCCAUUUGCCUCAUGGUUGCAUCUCCCCAAACCAGAUUCUUCCCCUCACUGAAGAAUGCUUGCCUGCUGAGUACAUUGAUAAUCUCUCGCUCUUUUCUUCGGUUGCGUUUCCUGAAGGCCAGGGAAGAUAUCUCGAGCGACCAACAACUUAUUUGGUGAGCGAUAAUUUGACUGUGACUCCUUACUUUACUGUUUCUGCUCUUUGCCGUAUGAAUAAGGAGAAGAUUCCGAUAUCUGAUGUUGAAGAAAUGCAGCUGCAAAUUGGAUUGAAAGAGGUAAAUACAACUUUGAUAGCUUUUAAUUGUAUAUAUGUUUAGAUGUUGAGAGCAAAUUUGUUGAUGGGUGCAGGCUUUGAGCAUACUGAAAGCUUCUCUUACAUCCACCACAGCUCUCUCCGAUGCUCUGCUCAAUACUUACCCGUCGCACAAACGACAAAAGAAAUAAUUUUGAUUGCAUCGUUUGAAUGUCCCUUGAUGGAAAAUAAUAAUGAGCUUAUGAAAGCUAGUAUUGUAGACAUAAUUUAUGAGUUUUCAAAGAAGUAUUCUCUUGUGCCAGUUAAUUAAGAUCUUCGAGUCUAAAAUAGACGUCUUAAUUUUGUUAUUUGUUCAUUCAUUAAAAACUCUGAUUUUGCUAAUAUCACUGUGGAUCUAGUUUCCACCAAUUUAUAUUUUAUUCAUAUUUAAUAUAAAUUAAUUUCAAAGCUAUUUCUAAUUAAUAUAAAAAAAAUUUAUUAUUUUAUAAAUAUUGUAUAACAAAAUUAACAAAAUUAGUAAUUAUUUUAGUUUUUACUUUUUAUUUGUAAUUUUUAUGCUUUAAAAAUAAUAAUUUUUAAAAAAAUUAUAAAAAUUACAAAAAUAAUAAUUAGCAACUAUGGUGCUUAUGUUUGCUUUUGUUUUUUCAUAUGAUCCUAGAUAUUCCAGUCACUUAGACCUUUUCUUCAUAUGCAAAUUAUUUGUUUUUUGUUUCUGUAGAAAGCAUAAUCUUGAAAGUUAUACAACUAAAAUCGAACUGUCAAAUGGAAUUACUCCAAUUUAAAAUGUCGAAAUAUUCAUUGACAAUAUAUACUACCUCGCUAACAAAAUCAGAGCAAUCCACAACUAAAAAUAACUACUGAAACUUGAAAUAGUUUACACUAAACUUGCGACGAAUGGAAAAAAAAUAAGAUUUCCUUUUUCAUUUGUUGGAAUCCCACACCAUGUCCAACUAUCAAAACCAUCUGACAUUUAAACAAAAUCAUGUUUAUAUUCCAAAAAUUAUUAUUUCUCACACCCGAAAGAUGACGGGUGAUAUCUGAUGUAGCCUAAAUAUUUGAAAGCUAUAGUGAAUAAAGAGAUGCAACGUGCUACGAUUGUGAGAAUCUUGAAGAAGCACUAUUUGAAUCUCUGAAUAUCUAGUUGUAGUGAUUUCUGGUUAUAUCAUUUUUUGCAUUUUCGUUUUAUGUUUUGUGGUAUAUGCAUAUUAAGAGCAUCCCUUACAUCUGAUUAUGAUUCUGCUUGGCAUUAUCAUAAAAUCUGAGGCACAAAAAAUCUCUCUUUUGUAAGAAGUCAUUAAUUAUUUCAAGUUCCACGGCCGUGAGUUCAAUUUUCAUUUGAUUGGAUAUUUAGUCUGGUUCUUGUAUUGUGAGCAUUCAGUAUGAAAUAGUGAUUAAAUUAUGAAAUUACAUUGUGAAACGAACAAUUUGAACAUACAAAAAGUGAAAUAGUUUUAAAAUGAUGAAUGGAAAAACAAGAACCAUAGUUAAAACAACAUAAAAGCACAAUGCAAAGCUAUGAAUUUAAGCCAACAAUGUCACAUUUAUGAGCAGCAAAACAAGAUCUAAAAGCAUGGAUCACACUCAGACUUCUCUCUUUGGUUGUUUGAUUGAUAUGUGACUCAAUAGAGCAUCAGAAAGAGCAGAAGUGGAUGUAAGAGAGGCUUUCAGUAUGCCCAAAGCCUGCACAAAAGAAGACAAAAUCAACAUGUAAACAUAUGCUCAAUCAUGCACAAAUAAACUCGAAGCAAACGAGAUAGUAUUUGCAUAUAGAAAAAAGAUUCAAACGAAUGGAAAAUCAAGAUACAUAACUUAAAAUAACAAUGAAGCACACAAUAACUAUUAAUAUAACAUAUAAGCCAAUAUUUGCAACAUAAAUAGGAAGAAUGGAUAUCACACUUCUCUCUUUGGCUGUUUGAUUGAUUUGCCACUCAGAAGAGCAUCAGUGAGAGCAGUAGUAGAAGCAAGAGAGGCUUUCAGUAUGCUGCAAGCCUGCACCAACACAUUUUAUCUCAACAUCUAAACAUAACUAAAUAUAACAACCAAGAUUUUAAAUGAAAGUUUACCUCUUUCAGCCCUAUUUGCAUCUCCACUUCUUUGACAUCAGAUAUCGAGAUUUUCUGCUGUUUAAGAGAUGAAAGUGAUGAGGCGAUGCAAAAAGGUGUAACGGUUAAAUCAUCAGCCACGUGAUAAGUUGGAGAUCCUUUAUGAUAACUUCCCUUCCCAUUGGGAAACUUAACAGAAGAAAAAUGGCUUCUAUCAUUGUAGUCAGCAGGCAAUCUUUCUUCAAUGAGAGGGAAAAUGUGGUCUUUCGAAAUAUAGCCAUGAGGUAGAAUGGGAGUCAUUAGCCUCUUUUUCGUAUCCGGGGUAAUGAAAUGCUUGCUAUCUAUAAGGUUGGAUGUGUUCCCGUACAAGUUGUCUAUAGCCUUAACACAGGUGUUACCGGCAAGAAGAUGCUCAACUCCUCCCAGUGGGAUGUAGAGGAAACUAAACAGAAACUCUACAAACUGUUUCUUAGCUUGAGCAUACAAAAACUUACCAGUAGAUUGUUGUAUCAUCACUUUCAAACUUAAAUUCCUAGAGUUAUUGGGAUUCUCUUCCUUUCGCA